Long non-coding RNA from Lycium ferocissimum, 3025 nucleotides. RefSeq lists it as uncharacterized. The record is from RefSeq and is a predicted model, not a curated record. The transcript has 3 exons. Lineage: Eukaryota; Viridiplantae; Streptophyta; Magnoliopsida; Solanales; Solanaceae.
UUCAUCCCACAAAGACGCGUUGUUUCUCAAUAUUUUCGGUUUCUCUUUGAGUAAAUUUUCUCUCUUUUAUCUUUCUUAGAGAGAAAUGGAUUCUUCUUUUGAAAUUAACAAUUGUUGCGACAUAAUUUUGCAUGUUCGUCCAGUCAAUAUAGUUCAAAUAACGGCUCAACCAAACCAAAAAAUUGCUAUUAGUAAAUGGUGCUAAUAGCAGUUGUAGUAUCAAGUCAUCCAAUGGAGAAUGAAUCAAGGACAUUGAGUUUGGGAUAACUCCCCAUCAACUCACAGGAGGAAGAGAAGGUUGGUUAAUGCCGAAGUCGUAUACAACGAUUCUGUUAGCUUCGUAAUCAUACACUUACAAGGUGAAGUUAACAUAUACAGGGUAAAAUUAAACAAAAUUAUGACAUUUGGUUUUUAAUAUUUCUAUGUGUAAAUUCAAAUAACUCGAGAUUUUUUCUUGAACAAUAUGAUAAUAAUUACGAGACAAUUAGUUUUGUUAAAUGCUUUCUUAUGGACUCGACUUAUAGAAUGGAGAAGAACCACAUGAUCCACUCAUGCUUAAUUACAAAUACCAUAUUAUGCUGCACAGAUGGCAAACUAAAACGAGAAGUUGUCCUAAUGGACACUGUGACAAGGUAACUAAGAUUAUUGUCUUAUUUAGUGCAUAAAAUUUAAACUCUUUUUUUCAUUUUCUAGCUAGAUAUUGAUCCUAAAAACUAGUGAUAAGGCUUUAUCAAAAUGAUAAAUCAACAAAAUGAGAAAUAAAAAAUAAAGUAAAAAGUUAAUUGUGAUUCUAAUUUAUAAUUAUGAAUGAGCUUAAGUUACACACAUAUUUAGUGUAACAAAUUAUUUACACUAUCUUGCCAUUUAAAGUUAUUUACAGGUAAGUGUCCUUAAAAUAUGAGUUUUAAAAUCUUAAAAAUACGAUAUGUUACCUUUUAUAACAGAUAAAGGUGACCUGAUGGUUUGAUAUUGGUUGCUCCAUGGUUUAAGCUAUGUUUAAGCUUAUGCAAUGUUUCUCUAACCAGUUGCAUUAUUAUUUUCACAUUAUCUAUCAUGAGACAUCUCAUAUAUUAUAAUGAUUGUAUUCCAUUUUUUUGUAUUUGCAUGCUUAACUUUUGUUCGCCUUGUUGGAUAAUGAGUUGUUGGUGCAUGGUAGUGUACAAAACUUAAACACUUUAUCAAUUAUUAUAACCUUAAGAAAAGUCUUGUCGUGUUGCAAUUUUACUACUAUGAGAAAAACCGUGUAAGUGUCUAUCUGUUGCGGAUGUAAGAAGACACAUAUUGUAUUGUUUUCAAGAAACCGGAGGUAGAAGUAUAUCCAGAAAUCAAUUUACUAAAAGAGACUAAGGUAACCCGUUAAUAUAUACUAAAAUAUAAUUUUUUGUUUAUUGCCACACCAUUCUUACAACUGUAUGUUAAAUUAAAUCAGGAUUGGGGCUUCAGAGCAACACUACAAGAAAAGAAAAUAGAAUCUUCAAACUCAGAGCCUGCAGUAAAGAAACAGAAAUGCAGCACUAGUGGACUGCCUUUUGGAGGUGAGGUGAUGUCGAUGAGUGAAAGGCCUCACUGAUGCAUACAACAACCUCAUGAAUUUGGACAAACAACACAAAAACAAGAUUGUUGCAAGAGAGUUUAUGGUAAGUAGUUAGAUUAAUUAAAUAAGUUGUCAAUAAUAUUACUCCAUCUAUCUCAAUUUAUCGAAUGCUUUUAUUCGGAAAAGAAUUAUAUACAUAUUUUUAUAUGUUUAGAAAUAAUCUGAUUAUAAAUUUUAAUUAUAAAUAUUUAAAAUAUAUUUUCUUAAAUUCAUGUCAAGUAAAAAUGCAUCACAUAAAUCGAAAAAAAAAAUUACACAAUUUCUUCUUUUCAACUUUAUUGCUCAUAAACUGUCAAUGGAACUAAAGGUAGGGGGUUUAGAAACACCCUCUAAGAAAAGAAAAACAGAAUUUUCAAGCUCGGAAGAGAGCUAACAACUAAAAAUCAAAAAAGCAAUACGAAACAACCUAUUAUUAGAAGCAAAUUGACACCAACGAGAAGACCUGAGCUUGAAAUUUUCUUGCUGAUGCAUAAAACAAUUUUAUGAAAUUGGGCAAUCACAACAGCCAAAAUGAGGUUAAGCCCAAGUAGGUUUGUUCGAAGGAUAACGAUAAAAGUUCUUUGAACCAUAAGAGAUUUUGAUAAGCGAUCUUCCUCCAAUUUUUGAAAGGAUUAUGUCCUUAUGUCAUCAUUGUUUCAAAAAAAGGAAAAAUUGGAAGCACUACAAAUUUGAAUUUUUCAUGAAGUAGUAGUUAUGUCCCACAAGGAAGUGAACAAGGUAAAAGAGAGUGCGAAUGGAGUGGUUUCACGCUUGGCGAAAUCAAUGAGUUGUACACCAAUUUUUCAUAAAGUGUAGCUAAUAGAUCGUGUCACAAGCUUACUCUUUUUUUUUUUUGGGUAAGAUUUUUAUUUCAAUUUUAUCAUACUAAUAUAUAUUAACAAUGCAUUUGAUGGACCACAAAAUUUUUAUAGUUAACUAUGUGAAAUUUUACUUUGUGCAUAAAAUUGAAAUCCUUUUGGCUAUGAGAAAGUGUUUAAGUUUUUGUCCACUUCCUUGUGGGGAACACCUACUACUUCAUGACAAAUUCAAGUUUUUACUUUUUGAAACAAUGAUGGCAUGAGGAUAGAAUCCUUUAAAAAAUGGGAGGAGAUGGCUUGUCAGAUCUCUUACGGUUUGAAUGAUUUUUACCAUUAUCCUUCGAACGAACCUUCUCAGGUUUAGCCUCAUUUUGGUUGUUGUGAUUGUCCAAUUUCAUAAGAUUGUUGUAUGCAUCAGCGAUAAACUUUUCAAACUCGUAUUUUCUCAUUGGUGUCAAUUUGCUUUUAAUAAUAGGUUGUUUCGUAGUAGUUUUUGACUUUUCCUUGUAAGCUUUCUCUCCGAACUUGAAGAUUCUGCUUUCUUUUCUUGGAAUGUGUUCCUGAACCCCCUGCCUUUAGUUUCAUUAAUAGUGUUAUGAGCAGUAAAGUUAAAAAGAAGAAAUUGUGUAAUAUU